UAUAAUGAAGCAUGAAACGUUGUUAUUGAACGAGAUAGAAAAUAAAAAAGAAAUCGGAAUAAAUAAAUCGUCCAGUGUGAUAAGAAAAAAGAAAAAAUUAUCGGAUAGAAAUGAGGGAAUAAAAACUGAAUUAUUGAACUCCGAUCGAUUAGCAUUAAGUGUGAUCGUUAUACGAAUUCGAUUACAUUCGUAAUUAAAUUAUUUACGAAUAAUUUAAUUUCAAUCGUGUGGUAUACCCAUACUGAAAUUAGAUAACACAAACUCACGAUAUAAAGGAGACGUAUGUAGGUAGAGAAACGACCUUGAGUUAACGGGUUAAGGACGACUUCAGCUAAAUGGGCCAUUGGCUGCUUCGACGAUCAACGUCCAUCUCAAAGGAGGCAGCUGUCAGUGGAAAAAAAGAAAAAGAAAAGAAAGGAAAGGAAAAAGACAAAAAGUUCCCAACCAGCUAGUUCAAUCCCAUGGACGAAAGAAUUUUUAGGGUUUCCAUUGAUAUAAAGGAUUAUGUUUCGAAGGGCAAGACUUUUACGUUUAAACUUACCUGGGUUUUGAACUUUAAAAAUAAUAAAACUCAAAGCACAGGUAAACACAUUUAUUUUCUAAUAAAUUUCGGAGUUUUGCUAUAUAAUAUAUGCGCUUACUUGCUAGUUAUUUAUCAGUACCUAUCAGAAUCUACCAAAACCUCAGAUUUAUGGUAUAUACUUAUUAAGACUUUUC
Vespa mandarinia (Asian giant hornet) is the source of this 717-nucleotide long non-coding RNA. The record is from RefSeq and is a predicted model, not a curated record. Lineage: Eukaryota; Metazoa; Arthropoda; Insecta; Hymenoptera; Vespidae.